GACGAACGCUGGCGGCGUGCUUAACACAUGCAAGUCGAACGGUAAGGCUCCAGCUUGCUGGGGUACACGAGUGGCGAACGGGGGAGUAACACGUGGGUGACCGGCCCUGCACUUUGGGAUAAGCCUGGGUAACUGGGUCUAAUACCGGAUAGGAUCAUGGCUAGGGUAGAGUGGAGGAAAGCUUUUGCGGUGUGGGGUGGGCACGCGGCCUAUCAGCUUGUUGGGGGGGGAAUGGCAUAGCCAGGCGGCGACGGGUAGCCGGCGUGGGAGGGUGGACGGCCACAUUGGUACUGAGACACGGCCCAGACUCCUACGGGAGGCAGCAGUGGGGAAUAUUGCACAAUGGGACGAAGCCUGAUGCAGCGACGCCGCGUGGGUGAUGACGGCCUUCGGGUUGUAAACUCCUUUCACCAUCGACGAAGGGUUUCUGACGGUAGAUAGAGAAGAAGCACCGGCUAACUACGUG
RNAcentral lists this ribosomal RNA (466 nucleotides) under uncultured bacterium. RNAcentral's name for it is "partial 16S ribosomal RNA". It matches the Rfam family "Bacterial small subunit ribosomal RNA", at positions 28 to 507 of the family's 1533-position model. The record is from RNAcentral.